This 258-nucleotide ribosomal RNA is filed under the name uncultured bacterium. RNAcentral's name for it is "partial 16S ribosomal RNA". It matches the Rfam family "Bacterial small subunit ribosomal RNA", at positions 1243 to 1500 of the family's 1533-position model. The record is from RNAcentral.
AGGGAGGCGAAGCCGCGAGGCGGAGCAAAGCCCAAAAAUAACGUCCCAGUUCGGACUGUAGUCUGCAACCCGACUACACGAAGCCGGAAUCGCUAGUAAUCGCAGAUCAGAAUGCUGCGGUGAAUACGUUCCCGAGUCUUGUACACACCGCCCGUCACACCAUGGGAGUCGGAAAUGCCCGAAGUCAGUGGCCCAACCGCAAGGAGGGAGCUGCCGAAGGCAGGUCCGGUGACUGGGGUGAAGUCGUAACAAGGUAGC